AACUCAUAUGCUUCAACACCCAAAAACCAAAUAAUCCGAUUAAAAAAUGGGCAGAGGAUCCUCUUUCGCAACCCAAAACUCAUUGUUCAGCAUGAGUUUUGAUACAGAUAAGAUGGAACAUG
This is a small nucleolar RNA of Manis javanica (Malayan pangolin), 122 nucleotides long. RefSeq annotates it as small nucleolar RNA SNORA40. NCBI's taxonomy places the organism in Eukaryota, Metazoa, Chordata, Mammalia, Pholidota, Manidae. The record is from RefSeq and is a predicted model, not a curated record.